This 484-nucleotide ribosomal RNA is filed under the name uncultured bacterium. RNAcentral's name for it is "partial 16S ribosomal RNA". It matches the Rfam family "Bacterial small subunit ribosomal RNA", at positions 30 to 507 of the family's 1533-position model. The record is from RNAcentral.
AUUGAACGCUGGCGGCAGGCCUAACACAUGCAAGUCGAGCGGAUGAAGGGAGCUUGCUCCUGGAUUCAGCGGCGGACGGGUGAGUAAUGCCUAGGAAUCUGCCUGGUAGUGGGGGAUAACGUCCGGAAACGGGCGCUAAUACCGCAUACGUCCUGAGGGAGAAAGUGGGGGAUCUUCGGACCUCACGCUAUCAGAUGAGCCUAGGUCGGAUUAGCUAGUUGGUGGGGUAAAGGCCUACCAAGGCGACGAUCCGUAACUGGUCUGAGAGGAUGAUCAGUCACACUGGAACUGAGACACGGUCCAGACUCCUACGGGAGGCCGCAGUGGGGAAUAUUGGGCGAUGGGCGAAAGCCUGAUCCAGCCAUGCCGCGUGCGUGAAGAAGGUCUUCGGAUUGUAAAGCACUUUAAGUUGGGGGGAAGGGCAGUAAGUUAAUACCUUGCUGUUUUGACGUUACCAACAGAAUAAGCACCGGCUAACUUCGUG